CUAUGACAUAUAUUUGUCAUGGCGGGAGGAG
RNAcentral lists this non-coding RNA (31 nucleotides) under unclassified sequences. The record is from RNAcentral.